RNAcentral lists this unclassified non-coding RNA (90 nucleotides) under Pseudomonas jessenii. Lineage: Bacteria; Pseudomonadati; Pseudomonadota; Gammaproteobacteria; Pseudomonadales; Pseudomonadaceae. The record is from RNAcentral.
UGUGGGAGCGAGCUUGCUCGCGAUGGCGCCCGACCAGUCAGCAUUUAUAUUGACUGACCCACCGCUAUCGCGAGCAAGCUCGCUCCCACA